ACGGAGGGUGCGAGCGUUGUCCGGAAUUAUUGGGUUUAAAGGGUACGUAGGCGGUUAGAUAAGUCGAAGUUGAAAUGCUGCAGCUCAACUGUAUGCACUGGCUUUGAUACUGUUUAACUUGAGUAUGGUAGAGGUAGGCGGAAUUUAUGAUGUAGCGGUGAAAUGCAUAGAUAUCAUAAAGAACUCCAAUUGCGAAGGCAGCUUACUGGACCAUAACUGACGCUGAUGUACGAAAGCGUGGGUAGCGAACAGG
This 253-nucleotide ribosomal RNA is filed under the name uncultured bacterium. RNAcentral's name for it is "partial 16S ribosomal RNA". It matches the Rfam family "Bacterial small subunit ribosomal RNA", at positions 525 to 776 of the family's 1533-position model. The record is from RNAcentral.